RNAcentral lists this unclassified non-coding RNA (258 nucleotides) under uncultured fungus. Its description in RNAcentral is "sequence contains ITS1, 5.8S rRNA gene". The stretch from base 210 to 258 matches the Rfam family "5.8S ribosomal RNA", at positions 1 to 49 of the family's 154-position model. The record is from RNAcentral. Lineage: Eukaryota; Fungi.
UUUCCGUAGGUGAACCUGCGGAAGGAUCAUUAAUGAAGGAAGGCGCGCUCUUUAUAGAGGCUCCGACCCCAUUUCAUCCCACACACCCGUGCACUCGGGAGGCGUGGGCCCUCGAUUGACAAGGUCGACGGGCCGUGAUCGCCUUUUCCCGCCCUUACUAGCGCCACAUGGUACUAUAGGAUGCUGAAUGCAAAAAUGAAAACAAACAAAACUUUCAACAACGGAUCUCUUGGCUCUCGCAUCGAUGAAGAACGCAGC